This 497-nucleotide ribosomal RNA is filed under the name uncultured bacterium. Its description in RNAcentral is "partial 16S ribosomal RNA". It matches the Rfam family "Bacterial small subunit ribosomal RNA", at positions 28 to 507 of the family's 1533-position model. The record is from RNAcentral.
GAUGAACGCUGGCGGCGUGCCUAAUACAUGCAAGUCGAGCGAACAGACGAGGAGCUUGCUCCUCUGACGUUAGCGGCGGACGGGUGAGUAACACGUGGAUAACCUACCUAUAAGACUGGGAUAACUUCGGGAAACCGGAGCUAAUACCGGAUAAUAUAUUGAACCGCAUGGUUCAAUAGUGAAAGACGGCUUUGCUGUCACUUCUAGAUGGAUCCGCGCUGCAUUAGCUAGUUGGUAGGUUAACGGCUUACCAAGGCAACGAUGCGUAGCCGAGCGGAGAGGGGGAUCGGCCACACUAGAGCUGAGACACGGUCCAGACGCCUGCGGGAGGCAGCAGUAGGGAAUCGGCCGCAAUGGGCGGAAGCCUGACGGAGCAACGCGGAGUGAGAGAUGAAGGUCUUCGGAGCGUAAAACUCUGUUAUUGGGGAAGAACAAAUGUGGAAGGAACUGUGCACGUCUUGACGGUACCUAAUCAGGAAGCCACGGCUAACUACGUG